RNAcentral lists this ribosomal RNA (432 nucleotides) under Streptococcus mitis. Its description in RNAcentral is "bacterial SSU rRNA". It matches the Rfam family "Bacterial small subunit ribosomal RNA", at positions 28 to 452 of the family's 1533-position model. Lineage: Bacteria; Bacillati; Bacillota; Bacilli; Lactobacillales; Streptococcaceae. The record is from RNAcentral.
GACGAACGCUGGCGGCGUGCCUAAUACAUGCAAGUAGAACGCUGAAGGAGGAGCUUGCUUCUCCGGAUGAGUUGCGAACGGGUGAGUAACGCGUAGGUAACCUGCCUGGUAGCGGGGGAUAACUAUUGGAAACGAUAGCUAAUACCGCAUAAUAGCAGUUAUUGCAUGAUAACUGUUUGAAAGGUGCAAUUGCACCACUACCAGAUGGACCUGCGUUGUAUUAGCUAGUUGGUGGGGUAACGGCUCACCAAGGCGACGAUACAUAGCCGACCUGAGAGGGUGAUCGGCCACACUGGGACUGAGACACGGCCCAGACUCCUACGGGAGGCAGCAGUAGGGAAUCUUCGGCAAUGGACGGAAGUCUGACCGAGCAACGCCGCGUGAGUGAAGAAGGUUUUCGGAUCGUAAAGCUCUGUUGUAAGAGAAGAACGA